UACGAAGGGGGCUAGCGUUGCUCGGAAUUACUGGGCGUAAAGGGCGCGUAGGCGGGUGUUUAAGUCAGAGGUUAAAUCCCAGAGCUCAACUCUGGAACUGCCUUUGAUACUGGACACCUAGAGUACGGGAGAGGUGUGUGGAACUCCGAGUGUAGAGGUGAAAUUCGUAGAUAUCGGGAGGAACACCGGUGGCGAAGGCGGCGAUCUGGGUCGAUACUGACGCUGAGGUGCGAAAGCGUGGGGAGCAAACAGG
Molecule: ribosomal RNA, 253 nt
Filed under: uncultured bacterium
Lineage: Bacteria
Description: partial 16S ribosomal RNA
Rfam family: Bacterial small subunit ribosomal RNA
Source: RNAcentral